Molecule: ribosomal RNA, 891 nt
Filed under: Hebeloma sacchariolens
Lineage: Eukaryota; Fungi; Basidiomycota; Agaricomycetes; Agaricales; Hymenogastraceae
Description: partial large subunit ribosomal RNA
Rfam family: Eukaryotic large subunit ribosomal RNA
Source: RNAcentral
ACUAACAAGGAUUCCCCUAGUAACUGCGAGUGAAGCGGGAAAAGCUCAAAUUUAAAAUCUGGCGGUCUCCGGCCGUCCGAGUUGUAAUCUAGAGAAGUGUUAUCCGCGCUGGACCGUGUACAAGUCUCCUGGAAUGGAGCGUCAUAGAGGGUGAGAAUCCCGUCUUUGACACGGACUGCCAGGGCUUUGUGAUGCGCUCUCAAAGAGUCGAGUUGUUUGGGAAUGCAGCUCAAAAUGGGUGGUAAAUUCCAUCUAAAGCUAAAUAUUGGCGAGAGACCGAUAGCGAACAAGUACCGUGAGGGAAAGAUGAAAAGAACUUUGGAAAGAGAGUUAAACAGUACGUGAAAUUGCUGAAAGGGAAACGCUUGAAGUCAGUCGCGUUGGCCGGGGAUCAACCUUGCUUUUGCUGGGCGUACUUUCCGGUUGACGGGUCAGCAUCAAUUUUGACCGUUGGAUAAAGUCUAGGGGAAUGUAGCAUCUUCGGAUGUGUUAUAGCCCUUGGUCGCAUACAGCGAUUGGGAUUGAGGAACUCAGCACGCCGCAAGGCCGGGUACUUGUACCACGUUCGUGCUUAGGAUGCUGGCAUAAUGGCUUUAAUCGACCCGUCUUGAAACACGGACCAAGGAGUCUAACAUGCCUGCGAGUGUUUGGGUGGAAAACUCGGACGCGUAAUGAAAGUGAAAGUUGAGAUCCCUGUCGUGGGGAGCAUCGACGCCCGGACCAGACCUUUUGUGACGGAUCCGCGGUAGAGCAUGUAUGUUGGGACCCGAAAGAUGGUGAACUAUGCCUGAAUAGGGUGAAGCCAGGGGAAACUCUGGUGGAGGCUCGUAGCGAUUCUGACGUGCAAAUCGAUCGUCAAAUUUGGGUAUAGGGGCGAAAGACUAAUCGAAC